This 301-nucleotide ribosomal RNA is filed under the name uncultured bacterium. RNAcentral's name for it is "partial 16S ribosomal RNA". It matches the Rfam family "Bacterial small subunit ribosomal RNA", at positions 509 to 807 of the family's 1533-position model. The record is from RNAcentral.
CAGCAGCCGCGGGAAUACGUAGGGUGCGAGCGUUAAUCGGAAUUACUGGGCGUAAAGCGUGCGCAGGCGGUUCGUUAAGACAGAUGCGAAAUCCCCGGGCUUAACCUGGGAACUGCAUUUGUGACUGGCGAGCUAGAGUAUGGCAGAGGGGGGUAGAAUUCCACGUGUAGCAGUGAAAUGCGUAGAGAUGUGGAGGAAUACCGAUGGCGAAGGCAGCCCCCUGGGCCAAUACUGACGCUCAUGCACGAAAGCGUGGGGAGCAAACAGGAUUAGAUACCCCGGUAGUCCCUGUCUCUUAUAC